RNAcentral lists this long non-coding RNA (1123 nucleotides) under Marmota monax (woodchuck). The record is from RNAcentral. Lineage: Eukaryota; Metazoa; Chordata; Mammalia; Rodentia; Sciuridae.
UAGCUCAGUCAGUAGAGUACUUUUCUUGCAUGCACAGGCCCUGGCUUCAAUCCCCAGCACCACCAAAAACAGAAAAAGUAUAAUGGGCUAGAGAUAUAGCUCAGUUGGUAGAAUGCUCGCUUCACAUGCACAAGGCCCUGGAUUCAAUUCCCAGCCACACACACACACAAAUGGAUCAUUUGUCUGCUGGUGUUCCUUCCAGCUGAUGAAAUUCCAGAAGAUUCUAAUGAACUAAAAUUCUAUUUCCCCUAAGAAGUCUGUGAACUUAAUGACUGGUUUGAAAAUGAUUAUGUACAAGGAAGAAUAAGAAGACAUUUGAUACAGUGGUUCUGCUGUUUGAUCACCAUGAUUGUUUCCUCCAAAUUAAUGAUCUGUAUGUGAGUGAAUGGGGUAUGAAUUAUCAUGUACCCAAAACAAUGUAGAAGCAUGGCACAGCAGAUGGGAACAUUUAAUAAAGAGCACUCAUGUUGAUGUAAUUGAAUCAUGAAAGAAUUCCAAAAAGAGUAAUGCCAUGUAGAAAUGAAUGUGAGCCUUGUCUAAGGUGAGUCAUGCCCUACAAGUAAAAAGUGGGGUAAUGGGGAAGCAGAGCUGGGAAUGUAACUCGGUAGUAGAGCGUGUGUGUUACCUAGCCUACACAAGGCCCUGGGAAUUUAACCCAGAACUGCAAAACAAAUUUGAAAAGAAAAAGCAGCUAUUUAUCACUAUAUAAGACUUUAAAAUAUAGUUAAUAAGUUAAUGAUCAUGAAAGUUAGCUAACUUUUACAGAUUACUUGUAUGCAGUUGCUCAUAAUUUCCCCCUAUAAUAUACUUUUUUCAUAUGCUGAAUUUUCUUUUAAUUUUAGUUUUAGAUUCUUUUAUUUGUGUGUUUGUUUUGGUGUUUUCCAACUAUUUUCCUUUUAGCUUAGUUUGGGGAAUUUGUUAGGUGUUUUCUCUUUUUUUUAAUUGUCAGCAUUAUAUUAUAAUUUGUAAUAUUAUAUAUUUCAUCAUAACAUGAUUUCAAAUACUGGAGGUAUAAAUUGUAGUAACAUUUUUAGGGAAAAAAAAAAGACUUUAGAGAAUUCUAAUUUGCCUUAUGAAGUCUUUGCAAAUUUGAUGCCUGGAAAAUGCAGUAUCAAUAUGUUGG